UGUUUGUAUACUUCGCCGGAGGCUGUACUAGACGAUCAUUAUAAUGUUUACUUUAUACCCGAGUAUAUUUAUCGUUAACGGACGCGGCCGUUCACUAUUAUUAUUUUUUUAUUUCCCCGCGUUUCUGUCGUUCCGGCUGCGUUAUAAUAAUAAUAACAACAACAGUACUAUACUCGUGUUUAAAUUUUCGUGUACAUAGGUACUCUUAAAAAUACAACGCGUGUUUCCGAGACGUUUG
Cinara cedri is the source of this 238-nucleotide non-coding RNA. The record is from the annotation of a GenBank genome assembly. NCBI's taxonomy places the organism in Eukaryota, Metazoa, Arthropoda, Insecta, Hemiptera, Aphididae.